Plectropomus leopardus (leopard coralgrouper) is the source of this 626-nucleotide non-coding RNA. NCBI's taxonomy places the organism in Eukaryota, Metazoa, Chordata, Actinopteri, Perciformes, Serranidae. The record is from the annotation of a RefSeq genome assembly.
UAGUCCUGUGAGUUCAACACUGCAGGACUCAGAUCUGUCAGUCAACACAGCAGAAAGCACAACCACCAUGACUCUCAUCACCAUCCUCAUCUGGACGCUGGCCUGCUGCUGUUUUACAGGAUGCAGCGGUCAGGUGACUGUGACUCAGCCUCCAGUAGUGACAUUUACUCCAGGAUCCACUGUCAAGCUCACCUGUCAAACCAGCCAGGCUGUUUACAGUGACAGUGCUGGUCAGUAUCUGCACUGGUAUCAGCAGAAAUCUGGACAGCCUCCAAAGCUCCUGAUACGUUUAGUGAGCACACGUCAUUCAGGAACACCAGCUCGGUUUAGUGGCAGUGGAAGCAGCUCUGACUUCACUUUGACCAUCAGUGGAGUUCAGACUGAAGACGCAGCAGAUUAUUACUGUCAGAGUGCACACUAUAUAAACAGUGCUUGGGUGUUCACACAGUGAUUUUUGGUCGUACAAAAACCUCCCUCAGUCAGACUGCAGAGACUCUGAGCUGUUACAGCAGGAACCGACUGCAGCUGCUGAAGAGGAAGAGACUCUGACACAGACCACUGAACACAGAGCUGACUGUAACCUCAGCAAGCACACACUACAUACUCACACGAAAAAUUUAAUUAAA